Molecule: ribosomal RNA, 466 nt
Filed under: uncultured bacterium
Lineage: Bacteria
Description: partial 16S ribosomal RNA
Rfam family: Bacterial small subunit ribosomal RNA
Source: RNAcentral
GAUGAACGCUGGCGGCGUGCUUAACACAUGCAAGUCGAACGGAAAGGCCAGUGCUUGCACUGGUACUCGAGUGGCGAACGGGUGGGUAACACGUGGGUGAUCUGCCCUGUACUUCGGGAUAAGCUUGGGAAACUGGGUCUAAUACCGGAUAGGACAACUUUUUGGAUAUUGUUGUGGAAAGCUUUUGCGGUAUGGGAUGAGCUCGCGGCCUAUCAGCUUGUUGGUGGGGUAAUGGCCUACCAAGGCGUCGACGGGUAGCCGGCCUGAGAGGGUGUACGGCCACAUUGGGACUGAGAUACGGCCCAGACUCCUACGGGAGGCAGCAGUGGGGAAUAUUGCACAAUGGGCGCAAGCCUGAUGCAGCGACGCCGCGUGGGGGAUGAAGGCCUUCGGGUUGUAAACUCCUUUCGCUAGGGACGAAGCGCAAGUGACGGUACCUGGAGAAGAAGCACCGGCUAACUACGUG